AACGGCUGGCGGCGAGGCCUAACACAUGCAGUACGACGGUAGCACAGAGAGCUUGCGUCUCGGGUGGACGGAGUGGCGGACGGGUGAGGUAAUGUCUGGGAAACUGCCCGAUGGAGGGGAGUAACUACUGGAAACGGUAGCUAAUACCGCAUAACGCUUCGGACCAAAGUGGGGGACCUUCGGGCCUCACACCAUCGGAUGUGCCCAGAUGGGAUUAGCUAGUAGGUGGGGUAAUGGCUCACCUAGGCGACGAUCCCUAGCUGGUCUGAGAGGAUGACCAGCCACACUGGAACUGAGACACGGUCCAGACUCCUACGGGAGGCAGCAGUGGGGAAUAUUGCACAAUGGGCGCAAGCCUGAUGCAGCCAUGCCGCGUGUAUGAAGAAGGCCUUCGGGUUGUAAAGUACUUUCAGUGGGGAGGAAGGCGAUGAAGUUAAUAACUUCGUCGAUUGACGUUACCCGCAGAAGAAGCACCGGCUAACUCCGUG
This 488-nucleotide ribosomal RNA is filed under the name uncultured Erwinia sp. Its description in RNAcentral is "bacterial SSU rRNA". It matches the Rfam family "Bacterial small subunit ribosomal RNA", at positions 35 to 507 of the family's 1533-position model. Lineage: Bacteria; Pseudomonadati; Pseudomonadota; Gammaproteobacteria; Enterobacterales; Erwiniaceae. The record is from RNAcentral.